GAAAUGCGAUAAGUAAUGUGAGUUGCAGAAUUCAGUGAAUCAUCGAAUCUUUGAACGCACAUUGCGCCCGCCAGUAUUCUGGCGGGCAUGCCUGUCCGAGCGUCAUUUCAACCAUCAAGCCCCCGGGCUUGUGUUGGGGACCUGCGGCUGCCCGCAGGCCCUGAAAACCAGUGGCGGGCUCGCUGUCACACCGAGCGUAGUAGCAAUCACCUCGCUCAGGGCGUGCUGCGGGUUCCGGCCGUUAAACAGCCUUACAAAACCCAAGGUUGACCUCGGAUCAGGUAGGAAGACCCGCUGAACUUAAGC
RNAcentral lists this unclassified non-coding RNA (306 nucleotides) under plant metagenome. RNAcentral's name for it is "partial contains 5.8S ribosomal RNA, internal transcribed spacer 2, and large subunit ribosomal RNA". The stretch from base 1 to 105 matches the Rfam family "5.8S ribosomal RNA", at positions 50 to 154 of the family's 154-position model. The record is from RNAcentral.